RNAcentral lists this long non-coding RNA (783 nucleotides) under Drosophila guanche. Lineage: Eukaryota; Metazoa; Arthropoda; Insecta; Diptera; Drosophilidae. The record is from RNAcentral.
CUGCGUUGCACUUUAUGGCUGUAGGGAAGGGGGAGGAGCGGUUUUUUAUAUGAUUUACUUGUCAUUCGGUGGCGCUGUUUAUGGCUCAUGCACGGAGUGGCCGUCGGUACGUGUGUUUGGUUUAUAGCGCACACAAUCAUGCAUAUAUUUUCACAGAGAAAAUGAAAGGAAAGGCUGAGAGCCUGGUCGCUGGUACGCACUUUAUUAACACACAUAUAUUCCGCGUCGCUCUUGGCGCUCCUCCUGCGAGUACAUAAAAUAUGAAUCCCCGCCGCUGGUCGUGCGUCGUACUCCACGGAAUUUAAUAUAAAACGCACAAUGAUAAUAUUAUAAAAUGCUUAAACAGAAUAUUGAAAUGAGCUCAAGGAAACGUUUCACUUUAUUGCGAAAUUUCGCAAAAUAUCUGCCAUAAGUCGCUUGUCAGCAGAGCGAGAGGGAGGAGGAGGGAGGAGGGAGGGAGGAGCAGAGACACAGACGUGCACUCAGCAGAAGGGUCGAGUCCACUGAUGAUGUUCCAUUCAAUCAUCUUCGUUUUCCGACUCUUGAAUAUACAAUUGACUUAUGAAGAUGUGGUGGUGUGUUUGGAGUGUUUUCUGUGUAUUUUCCCAUGUUUUUUGUGUCCCUGUUUUUUUCCCCUCUGUGUUCAACUGUGACAACACAAACCCUACUCACGCUCUACCUCUCUCUGACAACGGCUUCUGUUACUGCUAGCAAAAGGCUUAGAGAGGAAAGUAGCUGCCAGAGCAACAGGCUGUUGCGUGCAGUGGAGUUCUGCGCUCUCCA